GUAGGGUGCGAGCGUUAAUCGGAAUUACUGGGCGUAAAGCGUGCGCAGGCGGUGAUGUAAGACAGGUGUGAAAUCCCCGGGCUUAACCUGGGAACUGCAUUUGUGACUGCAUCGCUGGAGUGCGGCAGAGGGGGAUGGAAUUCCGCGUGUAGCAGUGAAAUGCGUAGAUAUGCGGAGGAACACCGAUGGCGAAGGCAAUCCCCUGGGCCUGCACUGACGCUCAUGCACGAAAGCGUGGGGAGCAAACAGGAUUAGAUACCCUGGUAGUCCACGCCCUAAACGAUGUCAACUGGUUGUUGGUCCUUCACUGGAUCAGUAACGAAGCUAACGCGUGAAGUUGACCGCCUGGGGAGUACGGCCGCAAGGUUGAA
RNAcentral lists this ribosomal RNA (371 nucleotides) under uncultured bacterium. RNAcentral's name for it is "bacterial SSU rRNA". It matches the Rfam family "Bacterial small subunit ribosomal RNA", at positions 527 to 898 of the family's 1533-position model. The record is from RNAcentral.